This 392-nucleotide ribosomal RNA is filed under the name uncultured bacterium. Its description in RNAcentral is "bacterial SSU rRNA". It matches the Rfam family "Bacterial small subunit ribosomal RNA", at positions 28 to 421 of the family's 1533-position model. The record is from RNAcentral.
GACGAACGCUGGCGGCGUGCUUAACACAUGCAAGUCGAGCGGUAAGGCCCUUUCGGGGGUACACGAGCGGCGAACGGGUGAGUAACACGUGGGUGACCUGCCCUCAGCUCUGGGAUAGGCCUGGGAAACCGGGUCUAAUACCGGAUAUGACUCCAUGACGCAUGUUGUGGGGUGGAAAGCCUUGUGCGGCUGAGGAUGGGCCCGCGGCCUAUCAGCUUGUUGGUGGGGUGAUGGCCUACCAAGGCGACGACGGGUAGCCGGCCUGAGAGGGCGACCGGCCACACUGGGACUGAGACACGGCCCAGACUCCUACGGGAGGCAGCAGUGGGGAAUCUUGCGCAAUGGGCGAAAGCCUGACGCAGCGACGCCGCGUGAGGGAUGACGGCCUGUGU